CCGUGGCAAAGCUGCGCCAACCCGCGCUCUGGUACAUCUGAUAGGCAACAGAACCCACGCUAAUCGCUUGUAGGCUUUGGGCUGGAUUUGCCACGCGCGAUGAUCUUUCCGUGAGGUACUCGGGAUAGUUCCGGCCUGCGGCAAGAUGGUCU
Molecule: ribosomal RNA, 152 nt
Filed under: uncultured eukaryote
Lineage: Eukaryota
Description: partial small subunit ribosomal RNA
Source: RNAcentral